RNAcentral lists this ribosomal RNA (254 nucleotides) under uncultured bacterium. RNAcentral's name for it is "partial 16S ribosomal RNA". It matches the Rfam family "Bacterial small subunit ribosomal RNA", at positions 524 to 776 of the family's 1533-position model. The record is from RNAcentral.
UACGGGGGGGAGCAAGCGUUGUUCGGAUUUACUGGGCGUAAAGGGCGCGUAGGCGGCGUGACAAGUCACUUGUGAAAUCUCCGGGCUUAACUCGGAACGGUCAAGUGAUACUGUCGUGCUAGAGUACAGAAGGGGCAACUGGAAUUCUCGGUGUAGCGGUGAAAUGCGUAGAUAUCGAGAGGAACACCUGCGGCGAAAGCGGCUCACUGGACCACAACUGACGCUGAGGCGCGAAAGCUAGGGGAGCAAACAGG